This 484-nucleotide ribosomal RNA is filed under the name uncultured bacterium. RNAcentral's name for it is "partial 16S ribosomal RNA". It matches the Rfam family "Bacterial small subunit ribosomal RNA", at positions 29 to 506 of the family's 1533-position model. The record is from RNAcentral.
AUUGAACGCUGGCGGCAUGCUUUACACAUGCAAGUCGAACGGCAGCGCGGGCUUCGGCCUGGCGGCGAGUGGCGAACGGGUGAGUAAUGCAUCGGAACGUGCCCAGUAGUUGGGGAUAGCCCGGCGAAAGCCGGAUUAAUACCGCAUACGACCUGAGGGUGAAAGCGGGGGACCGAAAGUCCUCGCGCUAUUGGAGCGGCCGAUGUCGGAUUUGCUAGUUGGUGGGGUAAAGGCUUACCAAGGCGACGAUCCGUAGAUGGGCUUAGGGGACGACCCGCCAAACUGGGACAGGGAAAAGGGCCCAAGCUCCAAGGGGGGGCGGAGGGGGGAAUUUUGGGAAAAGGGGGGAAACCCUAAACAAGCAAUGCCGGGGGGGGAAAAAGGGCCUUGGGGUGGAAAGCCGUUUUGUUGGGGAAAAAAAUCCGCAGGGCUAAAACCCCGGGGGAAGAAGGGAACCGAAAAAAAAAGCACCGGCAAACUAGGG